UAAUUGGAGAGUUUGAUCCUGGCUCAGAACGAACGCUGGCGGCGUGCCUAACACAUGCAAGUCGAACGAGAAAUCGGGCACUCAGGCAACUGAGUGCCGGAGAGUAAAGUGG
Molecule: ribosomal RNA, 112 nt
Filed under: Deltaproteobacteria bacterium
Lineage: Bacteria; Pseudomonadati; Myxococcota; Myxococcia
Description: partial 16S ribosomal RNA
Rfam family: Bacterial small subunit ribosomal RNA
Source: RNAcentral